RNAcentral lists this ribosomal RNA (427 nucleotides) under bacterium Ellin6067. RNAcentral's name for it is "bacterial SSU rRNA". It matches the Rfam family "Bacterial small subunit ribosomal RNA", at positions 355 to 774 of the family's 1533-position model. Lineage: Bacteria; Pseudomonadati; Pseudomonadota; Betaproteobacteria. The record is from RNAcentral. RNAcentral also lists the same sequence under 1 other name.
UGGGGAAUUUUGGACAAUGGGGGCAACCCUGAUCCAGCCAUUCCGCGUGAGUGAAGAAGGCCUUCGGGUUGUAAAGCUCUUUUGUCCGGAACGAAACGGUUAGCGUGAAUAUCGCUGACUACUGACGGUACCGGAAGAAUAAGCACCGGCUAACUACGUGCCAGCAGCCGCGGUAAUACGUAGGGUGCGAGCGUUAAUCGGAAUUACUGGGCGUAAAGCGUGCGCAGGCGGUUUUGUAAGCCAGAUGUGAAAUCCCCGGGCUUAACCUGGGAAUGGCAUUUGGGACUGCAAGGCUGGAGUUUGGCAGAGGAGACUGGAAUUCCUGGUGUAGCAGUGAAAUGCGUAGAUAUCAGGAGGAAUACCGAUGGCGAAGGCAGGUCUCUGGGCUAUAACUGACGCUCAUGCACGAAAGCGUGGGGAGCAAACA